CCUACGGGAGGCAGCAGUGGGGAAUUUUCCGCAAUGGGCGUAAGCCUGACGGAGCAAUACCGCGUGAGGGAUGAAGGCUCGUGGGUCGUAAACCUCUUUUCCCAAGGAAGAAGUUCUGACGGUACUUGGGGAAUAAGCAUCGGCUAAUUCCGUGCCAGCAGCCGCGGUAAUACGGGAGAUGCGAGCGUUAUCCGGAAUCACUGGGCGUAAAGCGUCUGUAGGUUGUUUGUUAAGUCUGUUGUUAAAAACUGAAGCUCAACUUCAGGGGUGCGGCAGAAACUGGCAAACUUGAGUAUGGUAGGGGUAGGAGGAAUUUCUAGUGUAGCGGUGAAAUGCGUAGAUAUUAGGAAGAACACCAUUAGCGAAGGCGUCCUACUGGGCCAAAACUGACACUCAGAGACGAAAGCUAGGGGAGCAAACGGGAUUAGAUACCCCGGUAGUCCUAGCCGUAAACGAUGGAUACUAGAUGUCGCGGGUUUACCUGCGGUGUCGUAGCUAACGCGUUAAGUAUCCCGCCUGGGAAGUACGCACGCAAGUGUGAAACUCAAAGGAAUUGACGG
This 560-nucleotide ribosomal RNA is filed under the name uncultured bacterium. Its description in RNAcentral is "bacterial SSU rRNA". It matches the Rfam family "Bacterial small subunit ribosomal RNA", at positions 338 to 916 of the family's 1533-position model. The record is from RNAcentral.